Small nuclear RNA from Aotus nancymaae (Ma's night monkey), 126 nucleotides. NCBI's taxonomy places the organism in Eukaryota, Metazoa, Chordata, Mammalia, Primates, Aotidae. The record is from Ensembl.
ACCAUCCUUUUCUUGGGGUUGCGCUACUGUCCAAUGAGCGCAUAGUGAGGACAGUACUGCUAACGCCUAAACAACACACCCGCAUCAACCUAAAUUUUGAUUUACGUUGGUGCAAUUUUUGGAAAC